This 86-nucleotide transfer RNA is filed under the name Candidatus Bathyarchaeota archaeon. RNAcentral describes it as "tRNA-Ser". It matches the Rfam family "tRNA". Rfam says of the family: Transfer RNA (tRNA) molecules are approximately 80 nucleotides in length. Their secondary structure includes four short double-helical elements and three loops (D, anti-codon, and T loops). RNAcentral also lists the same sequence under 1 other name. The record is from RNAcentral. Lineage: Archaea; Thermoproteati; Candidatus Bathyarchaeota.
GCGGGGUUGCCCUAGCCUGGUAGGGGGCAGGCCUGCUAAGCCUGUGGCCGGUUUCGGCCGCGCGGGUUCAAAUCCCGCACCCCGCG